GUAGGAAGUUGUCUCUAGUGUUGUACCUUGUGCUCCGUUGUGGGGAGAGCGUGAGUGAGCUCGGCAGCUACACCAUGAAAGGACCAACUGAGGCCUAUUUGGAUCCCAGCCAGAAAUGUCCAGCAACACACCCCCAACCAUAAAGAUGGCUCAUCUCUCACUGUCUGGUCAGGGACAGAGAAGAUAGAAGAAACUCCACCUCUUGAAGAACAACAAAAUCUCCUGAAGGGACAUCCAUGACCUGGUGGCCACUGCCCAAGCCAUAUGCCCUCCCACCUCCUCUGCUAUUUUAAUGGUAGUCUUUAUUAUAGGGCUGUCCUGCCACCAUUUAACUCCCUAAUUCUCAACUCAACAGUCACCACUGGCAUGUUUUCUUUGAGGAAACCUACUCGGACAUAAAACAAUGAUAUUGGAUCCAUAGACUGGCCCAACCAAGGAUGCCAUUCCUAUUUCAACACCUAAAUAACCAUCUCACCAUUAUUGUAGAUGACUCCUGGAAUGAAAGAUAAAGAACAGGAGUCAUAGGAAAACAGUUAUGUUAAAUAUCUCUCUGCUGAUGUUCAUAUUUCUCAACAGCUAUUGCAGACCUCCAGUCCAUGCUAACCCAUAGAAAUAUUCUUAAAGAGGAGAUACAGCUAAGAAGAAAUGCUCAGCCCACCCUAGCUACAGUCUGUCCAUAUGAAGAGAAAGAAGUGACACUGCUGCUAAUCAAAGACAAAAGAUAUUCCUUCCUUUACUGAUAGCAAUAAGACUUGCCAUCUUGUCAUCUCCUUUGGAUCUUCCAGGGCUACAACAACUGCCAUCGUCCAGACAUAUCAUCUGUCUGGAGACUUCAGAUACAGACUUGAUCAGACAAUGAUAUCUACAACUGAGAGCCUUGAGUCACUUGAAAAACAGAUGAAGUCUCUUGCCAGGGUUGUGCUCCAAAACAAAAGAGCAUUAGACCUCAUAAGUGCUGAACAUGGGGAAACUUGCUUCGUAUUAGGGGAAGAAUGUUGCUUUUAUGUAAACAAAUCAGAUGUUGUUAAACUAAUGUCAACACUCAAAAAACUAUACAAAGACCUACUCUCAAAAUCACAGUCUGUAUAACAAAUUAGCUGGUUCCAUAAACACUUAUUUUCUUGGCUCCUACACUUUAUUGGUACUCUGAUUAUGCUGUUUUAUUUUGAUGUUUGCCCCCACCUGUAGCUGGAGAAUUUCUCUCCAGCUCCCGCCAAGUCCCGGCAGUCCAACAAACCACUUAUAAAAUAAACACACAGAUGCUUAUAUUAUUAAACUGUUUGGCCUAAUGGCUCAGGCUUCUAGCUAUCUAGUUCUUACAUCUUAAAUUAAUCCAUUUCUAUAAAUCUAUACCUUGCCAUGUGGCUCAUGGCUUACCAGCAUCUUCACAUGCUGCUUGUCAUGGUGCUGGCUGGCAGUGUCUCCCUCCACCUUCCUGUUCUCUCAAUUCUCCUCUCUGUUAGUCCUGCCUAUACUUCUUGCCUGGCCACUGGCCAAUCAGUGUUUUAUUUAUUGACCAAUCAGAGCAAUUUGACAUACAGACCAUCCCACAGCACCUACCUUAUUCAGUUCGUCCAGUGACAGAUCACCACCAUUGCUAAAUUACCAGCAGUCAGGUAAUGGUUCACUACCAGGCCCUGGAACCUUCUGGCACAGGCCACAGGUUCCUUAGGGAUUAAAAUGACACCUCUCUAUUAAAAAAAAUAAAAUGGGAGAUGUUGGAAGACAUUGUCUCAGAGACAGAGGUCUCAGCCUCCCCGUGGCCUGGCAGCUUAUCUCAGUAGCUCAGCAGCAUAGAGUUCCUUGCCUCCAACAAAGAUUCCUGCUCUCUACCUGCCCUUAUCUGGAGAAUAUUCUAGGGCCUGGAAGACUGACCUUAUCUAAAAGCUGUCUCUAAACUAGAUGCCUGAUUUGUCUUUACCUUGACCCUUGGCACAGAUCCUCGCUAAGAAGACUUGCUCUAGGAGCUCUGUUAUAGGACCUUACUGUCACAUACUAAGCCUUGUGAUAGGAGCAUGCCUAUAUAUUCCUUAUAGUCUGGAAGAAAAUUGAGCUGAUUCACUGAAAUCUGUCUCCCAGAAGGCUGUCUCCAUUUCUGCUCUUGGGCUGUGUACAAAGCUUUCUGUCACUCCUACCUCUUUCCCUUUUCAGCCUGGUGGCCAACAGGGUGAGAGGGAAAGAGGAUUCCAUAAUUUGUAGGUGGAGUUUUCUGUCCCACCAACCCACUCCCAAAUAACCGCACAGAGAUUUAGUAAUUCUAAGUGCUUGCCAGAUAGCUUAGGCUUGUUACUAACCAGCUCUUACAACUUAAAUUAACCCAUAUUUUUUAUCUAUUCUCUACCAUGUGGCAAUACCUUUUUUCAGCAUGGCAAGUUCAUCUGCUUUCUC
This is a long non-coding RNA of Peromyscus eremicus (cactus mouse), 2388 nucleotides long. RefSeq lists it as uncharacterized. NCBI's taxonomy places the organism in Eukaryota, Metazoa, Chordata, Mammalia, Rodentia, Cricetidae. The record is from RefSeq and is a predicted model, not a curated record. The transcript is spliced from 3 exons.